AGCAGCCGCGGUAAUUCCAGCUCCAAUAGCGUAUAUUAAAGUUGUUGCAGUUAAAAAGCUCGUAGUUGAAUUUCGGGAUUAGUACGUCGGUCGUGCCUUCGGUACGUACUGGUGUUACUGAUUCCUACCUUCUGACGAACCAUCAUGUCAUUAAUUUGGUGUGGCGGGGAAUCAGGACUGUUACUUUGAAAAAAUUAGAGUGUUUAAAGCAGGCUCGCGCUUGAAUACAUUAGCAUGGAAUAAUGAAAUAGGACGUUGACCCUAUUUUGUUGGUUUCUAGGAUUGACGUAAUGAUUAAUAGGGAUAGUUGGGGGCAUUAGUAUUCAAUUGUCAGAGGUGAAAUUCUUGGAUUUAUUGAAGACUAACUACUGCGAAAGCAUUUGCCAAGGAUGUUUUCAUUAAUCAAGAACGAAAGUUAGGGGAUCGAAGACGAUCAGAUACCGUCGUAGU
RNAcentral lists this ribosomal RNA (450 nucleotides) under uncultured Glomus. RNAcentral's name for it is "SSU rRNA". It matches the Rfam family "Eukaryotic small subunit ribosomal RNA", at positions 569 to 1024 of the family's 1831-position model. Lineage: Eukaryota; Fungi; Glomeromycota; Glomeromycetes; Glomerales; Glomeraceae. The record is from RNAcentral. RNAcentral also lists the same sequence under 1 other name.